AAGAAAGAAAGAAAGAAAGAUACAUUUAUUACAGUGGACAUCACACAAAUACAGGCAAUUACAUAGACAUGACAGUGGCACAUAAUAAUAAAAGAAGAAAAAAUAAAAACAAGAGUAAACUGAGCAGUGCCACCCAUUCACCAACAAGAUGCCCACUGCAACGGGACCCCACUCAGCAUAUGCCGUGGCCCACGGUGACGAAGGCCACGGCACUGGUUUUCAGUGUGCCCCAUGCCGAGUGAGGGUCACGGACCAUUGGUAAAAUAAAAAAUAAAUAAAAAUAAAAAAGCUGCAUAAAAUUGUCUAGAUAAACAUACAUAAAUAGUAAUAUUAGUGCACAGAUAAAUACAAAAGGCGGGAAAUCGGUAAGGAUGAUAUGACUACGUUUAUUAAGAAUACUAAUGAAAAGAAUACUAAUAAAAAGAUAAAACUGUUUGUAUAGGUGUGUGUGUAGUAAUUGUGUUAAUGUGUAAUAUUCGUAAAGAGUGACAUUGUUACGCGUUGUUGAGUGUCUCGACGCCCGCAAAACCGGUUUGUGCAAUCGAAUGAUUGAUUGCGCGCGAUUCGACAAUUUAGUUCAUCCCAUAUUGUUCCGAGCGUUACACGCGCACCUACAAACAAAAAAUAAAAAAAAAUAAAAAGUAAAUAAAUUCCAGCAGUAUUGGUCGUCUAAACAUAUAAUUCAAUUUCAAUUAGUGUCAAAUAUAUAGUUAUGAUGUCAUUAGAAAUAAAAUAAUAAUCAUGAAACAAGUAUUUAAUAUGGUGUUAUAAUGGUGUUACAAAUAGUAUGUCCGGAGAGAAAAAAUUUCAAUUUUCAAGUAGUGAUGUCAGGCUACAGCAGUCCCGAUCGUCUUGCCCACUUCCGUGCUUGAUCGUCUGAAACCUUUAGACGACGUAAUGGCGGUGGCAAGUCAUUCCAGCACUUGGAGGCGGCAAACCUGAAGCUACCCCGGAAGGCAACGGUUCGGUGCGGCGGAAGAACGAGAGUGCUGCUGGAGCGACGGGUCUUGUGCGAGUGGAAUUCCCUUGUCCAAACUAAUUUAUCUAGUAGAUAAGUCGGAGUGUUGUUUUUCAUCAUACCAAAAAGCAGUGCCGCGAAGUGCAACGCCCUGCGUGAGUUCAUUUUUAAUAUUUUAGCAUUAGUUAUAUAAGGCGUAACGUGUGUUCAAAGUCAAAGUCAAAAUUUCUUUAUUUGUUUAGACUAAUAAAUAGUUCUUACAAAUCGUCAUUUUGCUCUUAAGGAGCCUCUACAUGUCUCAUAAUCUUUUUACCCUACCAGCGCUUCGAGACCAACAUUUGGCAAGUGCUGAGAAGAAGCGCCGCAACAAACUCAGUCACCACUGUCUGCCGGUUAAUAUAAAUAAAUAGAAAUAGCAGUAGUAGGUACAUUCGAUUCAGGAUGUUCUCGGCGGGAUUGAAAAACAAAAACGGGCGCAUGCAUUUUGCACACGUUGGAUAGUUUUCUUGGUACGCGCCAGCAGUCGGGGGCCAUAGACCACGUCCAUAUAGUUGAACUUAGAUAGAACCAGAGAGUCGCAUAAUUUAAUGCGAUUGUCAGUAGAAAGAUAUUUACGUAUUUGAUAUAAUACUUUAUAGGUAUUACUAUAAAGGUGAAGUGAAAGUUUGUGUGUAUGUAUGUAUGUUUACCUUUUUACGCUUAAACAACUGGAUGGACUUGAUUGAUGGCGUGUGCGUGCAAGCUUUUUUCUAUAUUUUAGAGGUUAAACUGAGUUUUUGAGGAUUUAAAUAAAAAACCACUUUAAUAUAAUACUUUAAUCAGUAUCACUGACCCUUAAACAAAAUUAAUUUGUUAUAAAAAUUCCUGACGAUGUCAGACUUUUCUGAAAGCUUUUUAGCUGCAUAAUGUAUUCGAACUUUCAGAUACUUUAAACUUAUGGCUUUAACUAAGAGCGAAUAGUGACAGUCAAGAAAUGUUUGUUGUUUAAAAUGUGAAGUCUUGGAGAAAAAAUGAUAUCCUAAACAGUAUUUAAGACUUUCUUGCAUUAGCUCUAUUAAAUGAUUUUUUUUAUAAAAUCCUUUAUUCCUACGAAAUAUAAUUUCACAAAUUUCGCAUAUUUUUAUGAUAUCUACUGUAGGAUAACACAGUCCGCCUUUGUCUUUUUUCAAUUGUAGGCUAACAUAUUUAGUAUUACAUACUAUAGCUGACACACAUUCCUCACAGUUAAGUUCUUUUUUCAGUUUGCUUACAACAAAACCAGCUAUGUAUAUAAUUAUAUGUUUAGAAAAUUCAGUCAAAAUACUUGGGUCUGUUAAAUAGUCGUGAUCUUUCAUUAAUAUAUUUUCAACCAUUUCUGUAUUUACAGGUUCAUUAUCAAUUAAUCUAUUUUUCUCAGAUGUUUUAUUUAUUGCUAAUUCAGGUUUCGUUAGCGUUAAAAUGUUUAUAUGUUCGAGAGGAAUACAGUUUCCUGACGUUAUAUGUUUAAUUUCUCCAUGUACUAACAUCCUCUUAAAGGCAGAUUUAAACUGUUGUGCAGAUGGAUUGUUGUUAAAUCCUCCUUUAGCCCUGAUGGCACUAAAAAAAUACUCUAGAUGGUCCUGACUCAUUUUGUAUGUGCUCAGAAAUUGGAGGUUAUUAUUUACCACCUGAGUUUCGUAAAGUUUAACAACGCUUUUAAUACAAAUAACAAAUCCCAUAAA
This is a long non-coding RNA of Ostrinia nubilalis (European corn borer), 2658 nucleotides long. RefSeq lists it as uncharacterized. The transcript has 2 exons. The record is from RefSeq and is a predicted model, not a curated record. NCBI's taxonomy places the organism in Eukaryota, Metazoa, Arthropoda, Insecta, Lepidoptera, Crambidae.